CGUACGCACUGGCCCAACUGAUUGAUGGUGCUUGCACCUGAUUGACGAUGGAUCACCAGUGAGUGGCGGACGGGUGAGUAACACGUAGGUAACCUGCCCCGGAGCGGGGGAUAACAUUUGGAAACAGAUGCUAAUACCGCAUAACAACAAAAGCCACAUGGCUUUUGUUUGAAAGAUGGCUUUGGCUAUCACUCUGGGAUGGACCUGCGGUGCAUUAGCUAGUUGGUAAGGUAACGGCUUACCAAGGCGAUGAUGCAUAGCCGAGUUGAGAGACUGAUCGGCCACAAUGGAACUGAGACACGGUCCAUACUCCUACGGGAGGCAGCAGUAGGGAAUCUUCCACAAUGGGCGCAAGCCUGAUGGAGCAACACCGCGUGAGUGAAGAAGGGUUUCGGCUCGUAAAGCUCUGUUGUUGGAGAAGAACGUGCGUGAGAGUAACUGUUCACGCAGUGACGGUAUCCAACCAGAAAGUCACGGCUAACUACGUGCCAGCAGCCGCGGUAAUACGUAGGUGGCAAGCGUUAUCCGGAUUUAUUGGGCGUAAAGCGAGCGCAGGCGGUUGCUUAGGUCUGAUGUGAAAGCCUUCGGCUUAACCGAAGAAGUGCAUCGGAAACCGGGCGACUUGAGUGCAGAAGAGGACAGUGGAAC
This 648-nucleotide ribosomal RNA is filed under the name uncultured bacterium. RNAcentral's name for it is "bacterial SSU rRNA". It matches the Rfam family "Bacterial small subunit ribosomal RNA", at positions 48 to 667 of the family's 1533-position model. The record is from RNAcentral.